UACAGAGGUCCCAAGCGUUGUUCGGAUUCACUGGGCGUAAAGGGUGCGCAGGUGGGUUUGCAAGUUCGAUGUGAAAGCCCCGGGCUUAACCCGGGAAUGGCAUUGGAUACUGCAGAUCUGGAGGAUCGGAGGGGGGACUGGAAUUCUUGGUGUAGCAGUGAAAUGCGUAGAUAUCAAGAGGAACACCAGUGGCGAAGGCGAGUCCCUGGACGAUACCUGACACUGAGGCACGAAAGCUAGGGGAGCAAACAGG
RNAcentral lists this ribosomal RNA (253 nucleotides) under uncultured bacterium. Its description in RNAcentral is "partial 16S ribosomal RNA". It matches the Rfam family "Bacterial small subunit ribosomal RNA", at positions 524 to 776 of the family's 1533-position model. The record is from RNAcentral.